GACGUAGGGCGCGAGCGUUGUCCGGAUUUAUUGGGCGUAAAGAGCUCGUAGGCGGAUUGUUAAGUCAGGGGUGAAAUCCUGGAGCUCAACUCCAGAACUGCCUUUGAUACUGGCGAUCUCGAGUCCGGGAGAGGUGAGUGGAACUGCGAGUGUAGAGGUGAAAUUCGUAGAAAUUCGCAAGAACACCUAUGGCGAAGGCAGCUCUCUGGGACGGUACUGACGCUGAGACGCGAAAGCGUGGGGAGCGAACAGG
RNAcentral lists this ribosomal RNA (253 nucleotides) under uncultured bacterium. RNAcentral's name for it is "partial 16S ribosomal RNA". It matches the Rfam family "Bacterial small subunit ribosomal RNA", at positions 524 to 776 of the family's 1533-position model. The record is from RNAcentral.